AUAAUCACUAGUCUUUUAAUUGAAGUCUUGUAUGAAAGAUUGCACGAAAUAUAAUCUGUCUCAUUUUAAUUAAUAUUAGAAAUUAAUUUUUAAGUUAAAAAGCUUAAAUUAAUUUAAAAGACGAGAAGACCCUAUAGAACUUUAUAAUGAUAUUUAAUUUAAUUAAUUAAAUUUAUUAAGAUUAAUUAGAUUUUAUUAUUUUGUUGGGGUGAUAGGAAAAUUUAAUAAACUUUUUUAAUAUAUAAAUUUCAUUAAUUAAUGAUUUUAUUAAUUGAUCUUAUAAUAUAAAUUAUUAGAUUAAGUUACCUUAGGGAUAACAGCGUAAUUAUUUUUUAGAGUUCAUAUUGACAAAAUAGAUUAC
RNAcentral lists this ribosomal RNA (361 nucleotides) under Acantholyda posticalis. RNAcentral's name for it is "partial 16S ribosomal RNA". Lineage: Eukaryota; Metazoa; Arthropoda; Insecta; Hymenoptera; Pamphiliidae. The record is from RNAcentral.